GCCCUUAUGGCGUAGUGGUAGCGCGUCGCACUUGUACUAUCUGACAUGGUUAGUCAUGCGAAGGUCUCUAGUUCAAUCCUGGAUGGGGGCA
Guyanagaster necrorhizus is the source of this 91-nucleotide non-coding RNA. Lineage: Eukaryota; Fungi; Basidiomycota; Agaricomycetes; Agaricales; Physalacriaceae. The record is from the annotation of a RefSeq genome assembly.